UACGGGGGGGGGCAAGCGUUGUUCGGAAUUACUGGGCGUAAAGGGCUCGUAGGCGGCCCUCUCAGUCGGAUGUGAAAUCCCCAGGCUCAACUUGGGAACGGCAUCCGAUACUGGAGGGCUUGAAUUCGGGAGAGGGAUGCAGAAUUCCAGGUGUAGCGGUGAAAUGCGUAGAUAUCUGGAGGAACACCGGUGGCGAAGGCGGCAUCCUGGACCACGACUGACGCUGAGUGAGCGAAAGCCAGGGGAGCAAACGGG
RNAcentral lists this ribosomal RNA (255 nucleotides) under uncultured bacterium. RNAcentral's name for it is "partial 16S ribosomal RNA". It matches the Rfam family "Bacterial small subunit ribosomal RNA", at positions 524 to 776 of the family's 1533-position model. The record is from RNAcentral.